GAUGAACGCUGGCGGCGUGCCUAAUACAUGCAAGUCGAGCGAACGGACGAGAAGCUUGCUUCUCUGAUGUUAGCGGCGGACGGGUGAGUAACGCGUGGAUAACCUACCUAUAAGACUGGUAUAACUUCGGGAAACCGUAGCUAAUACCGGAUAAUAUUUUGAACCGCAUGGUUCAAAAGUGAAAGACGGUCUUGCUGUCACUUAUAGCUGGAUCCCGGCUGCAUUAGCUAGUUGGUAGGGUAACGGCUUACCAAGGCAACGAUGCAUUGCCGACCUGAGAGGGGGAUAGGCCACACUGGAACUGAGACACGGUCCAGACGCCUACGGGAGGCAGCAGUAGGGAACCUUCCGCAGUGGGCGAAAGCCUGACGGAGCAAGGCCGCGUGAGUGAUGAAGGUGUUCGGAUCGUAAAACUCUGUUAUUAGGGAAGAACAGAUUUGUAAGGAACUGUGCACAUCGUGACGGUACCUAAUCAGAAAGCCACGGCUAACUACGUG
This 497-nucleotide ribosomal RNA is filed under the name uncultured bacterium. RNAcentral's name for it is "partial 16S ribosomal RNA". It matches the Rfam family "Bacterial small subunit ribosomal RNA", at positions 28 to 507 of the family's 1533-position model. The record is from RNAcentral.